Molecule: ribosomal RNA, 137 nt
Filed under: uncultured bacterium
Lineage: Bacteria
Description: partial 16S ribosomal RNA
Rfam family: Bacterial small subunit ribosomal RNA
Source: RNAcentral
UGGGGAAUAUUGCACAAUGGGCGAAAGCCUGAUGCAGCGACGCCGCGUGAAGGAUGAAGUAUUUCGGUAUGUAAACUUCUAUCAGCAGAGAAGAAAAUGACGGUACCUGACUAAGAAGCCCCGGCUAACUACGUGCC